CUACAAGGAUUGCUAAAGGAUGAUUUACCCAUGGACCGUGAUUGCUUUAAUUUGAUCGUACGGAAGAUUAUGUUGGAUGACAUCCAAACAUCACAAAAAACAAAGCAACUGAUAGCAAAGCAUUAUCUCGACAUGAAAUUUUGGAUGACUACUGAUUUUGGAAGGCACCCAGAUUUUCGUAAAAAUUUAGAUGUGGAGCAACUAGCAAAUUCUGUUCGUAGUUGGCCUGGUAUCAAAUAUAAUGUUUCAACAUGCAAAUCGAUCCAUAUUCCAGUACAAUGCAUUGAUGAAUUCAUUCUAUUCACAUUGGAUCAAGAUACCAGAACAGUGUACAUUUUGGACCCUACUCCUAUUAAUCCAAUGUACCGAUACAACCCACUCGCAAAAUAUGUGAAAAAAAUUAUAUGGAUUUCCGAACAUUUACCGAAAGCAAUGUCAAA
Molecule: long non-coding RNA, 440 nt
Organism: Triticum aestivum (bread wheat)
Lineage: Eukaryota; Viridiplantae; Streptophyta; Magnoliopsida; Poales; Poaceae
Exons: 3
Source: RefSeq, a predicted model, not a curated record